AACGAACGCUGGCGGCAUGCCUAACACAUGCAAGUCGAACGAAACCUUCGUGUCUAUGUGCGCACGUGUGCGUAACGCCUGGGAAGCUACCCGUGGGUUCGGUAUACCUGCCCUUAGGGUGUGCUAAUACCACUUAGUCUCAUCGGGCCUAAGAUCUCUUGCCAUUGGGUGGGGGCGCGUUAGUUUAGGUAGUUGGUAGGGUAGAAGCCUACCAUGGGGACGAUGCUUAGCUGGUCGGAGAGGAUGAUAAGCCACACUGGGAAUGAGGCCCGGCCCAGACUCCGACGGGAGGGAGCAGUGGGGAGUAUUGGGGGAUGAGCGAUAGCCUGGUACAGCCAUGCGGCGUGAGUGAUGAAGGCCUUAGGGUUGUAAAGCCGUUUUACACGGGGUGAUAAUGACAGUAAUGGGAGAAUAAGCUCCGGCUAACUCCGUG
RNAcentral lists this ribosomal RNA (433 nucleotides) under uncultured bacterium. RNAcentral describes it as "partial 16S ribosomal RNA". It matches the Rfam family "Bacterial small subunit ribosomal RNA", at positions 29 to 507 of the family's 1533-position model. The record is from RNAcentral.